This 1433-nucleotide ribosomal RNA is filed under the name Phomopsis sp. QJC-1893. RNAcentral's name for it is "eukaryotic LSU rRNA". It matches the Rfam family "Eukaryotic large subunit ribosomal RNA", at positions 1 to 1468 of the family's 3401-position model. Lineage: Eukaryota; Fungi; Ascomycota; Sordariomycetes; Diaporthales; Diaporthaceae. The record is from RNAcentral.
UGACCUCGGAUCAGGUAGGAAUACCCGCUGAACUUAAGCAUAUCAAUAAGCGGAGGAAAAGAAACCAACAGGGAUUGCCCUAGUAACGGCGAGUGAAGCGGCAACAGCUCAAAUUUGAAAUCUGGCCUCGGCCCGAGUUGUAAUUUGCAGAGGAUGCUUCUGGCGCGGUGCCUUCCGAGUUCCCUGGAACGGGACGCCACAGAGGGUGAGAGCCCCGUAUGGUCGGACACCAAGCCUGUGUGAAGCUCCUUCGACGAGUCGAGUAGUUUGGGAAUGCUGCUCUAAAUGGGAGGUAAAUCUCUUCUAAAGCUAAAUACCGGCCAGAGACCGAUAGCGCACAAGUAGAGUGAUCGAAAGAUGAAAAGCACCUUGAAAAGGGGGUUAAAUAGUACGUGAAAUUGUUGAAAGGGAAGCACUUGUGACCAGACUUGGGCCGGGCGGCUCAUCAGGGGUUCUCCCCUGUGCACUCCGCCCGGCACAGGCCAGCAUCGGUUCUCGUGGGGGGAUAAGACCGUCAGGAACGUAGCACCCUCCGGGGUGUGUUAUAGCCUGGCGGACGAUACCCCCGUGGGGACCGAGGUUCGCGCUCCGCAAGGAUGCUGGCGUAAUGGUCACCAGUGACCCGUCUUGAAACACGGACCAAGGAGUCGUCCAUUAGAGCGAGCGUUUGGGUGUAAAACCCGCACGCGUAAUGAAAGUGAACGCAGGUGAGAGCUUCGGCGCAUCAUCGACCGAUCCUGAUGUUCUCGGAAGGAUUUGAGUAAGAGUUUUAACGGACGGACCCGAAAGACAGUGAACUAUGCUUGUAUAGGGUGAAGCCAGAGGAAACUCUGGUGGAGGCUCGCAGCGGUUCUGACGUGCAAAUCGAUCGUCAAAUAUGAGCAUGGGGGCGAAAGACUAAUCGAACUGUCUAGUAGCUGGUUACCGCCGAAGUUUCCCUCAGGAUAGCAGUGUUGAUCUUCAGUUUUAUGAGGUAAAGCGAAUGAUUAGGGACUCGGGGGCGCUAUAUAGCCUUCAUCCAUUCUCAAACUUUAAAUAUGUAAGAAGCCCUUGUUACUUAGUUGAACGUGGGCAUUCGAAUGUACCAACACUAGUGGGCCAUUUUUGGUAAGCAGAACUGGCGAUGCGGGAUGAACCGAACGCGGGGUUAAGGCGCCAGAGUGUACGCUCAUCAGACACCACAAAAGGCGUUAGUACAUCUUGACAGCAGGACGGUGGCCAUGGAAGUCGGAAUCCGCUAAGGACUGUGUAACAACUCACCUGCCGAAUGUACUAGCCCUGAAAAUGGAUGGCGCUCAAGCGUACCGCCCAUACCCCGCCCCCAGGGUAGAAACGAUGCCCUGGGGAGUAGGCGGCCGUGGGGGUCUGUGACGAAGCCUAGGGCGUGAGCCCGGGUCGAACGGCCCCUAGUGCAGAUCUUGGUGGUAGUAAAU